AACGAACGCUGGCGGCAUGCCUAACACAUGCAAGUCGAACGAGAACUUCGGGUCUAGUGGCGCACGGGUGCGUAACGCGUGGGAACUUGCCCUUAGGUUCGGAAUAACUCCCCGAAAGGGGUGCUAAUACAGGAUAAUGUCUUCGGACCAAAGAUUUAUCGCCUUUGGAUGGGCCCGCGUUGGAUUAGCUAGUUGGUAGGGUAAAAGCCUACCAAGGAGACGAUCCAUAGCUGGUCUGAGGGGAUGAUCAGCCACACUGGGACUGAGACACGGCCCAGACUCCUACGGGAGGCAGCAGUGGGGAGUAUUGGACAAUGGGCGAAAGCCUGAUCCAGCAAUGCCGCGUGAGUAAUGAAGGCCUUAGAGUUGUAAAGCUCUGUUACCCGGGAUGAUAAUGACAGUACCGGGAUAAUAAGCUCCGGCUAACUCCGUG
This 433-nucleotide ribosomal RNA is filed under the name uncultured bacterium. RNAcentral's name for it is "partial 16S ribosomal RNA". It matches the Rfam family "Bacterial small subunit ribosomal RNA", at positions 29 to 507 of the family's 1533-position model. The record is from RNAcentral.